UUUAUUGGAGAGUUUGAUCCUGGCUCAGGAUGAACGCUGGCGGCGUGCCUAAUACAUGCAAGUCGAGCGAAUGGAUUAAGAGCUUGCUCUUAUGAAGUUAGCGGCGGACGGGUGAGUAACACGUGGGKAACCUGCCCAUAAGACUGGGAUAACUCCGGGAAACCGGGGCUAAUACCGGAUAACAUUUUGAACUGCAUGGUUCGAAAUUGAAAGGCGGCUUCGGCUGUCACUUAUGGAUGGACCCGCGUCGCAUUAGCUAGUUGGUGAGGUAACGGCU
Molecule: ribosomal RNA, 277 nt
Filed under: Bacillus thuringiensis F14-1
Lineage: Bacteria; Bacillati; Bacillota; Bacilli; Caryophanales; Bacillaceae
Description: partial 16S ribosomal RNA
Rfam family: Bacterial small subunit ribosomal RNA
Source: RNAcentral